RNAcentral lists this ribosomal RNA (492 nucleotides) under uncultured bacterium. RNAcentral describes it as "partial 16S ribosomal RNA". It matches the Rfam family "Bacterial small subunit ribosomal RNA", at positions 29 to 507 of the family's 1533-position model. The record is from RNAcentral.
AGUGAACGCUGGCGGUAGGCCUAACACAUGCAAGUCGAACGGCAGCACAGUAAGAGCUUGCUCUUACGGGUGGCGAGUGGCGGACGGGUGAGGAAUACAUCGGCAUCUACUUUUUCGUGGGGGAUAACGUAGGGAAACUUACGCUAAUACCGCAUACGACCUACGGGUGAAAGCAGGGGAUCUUCGGACCUUGCGCGAUUGAAUGAGCCGAUGUCGGAUUAGCUAGUUGGCGGGGUAAAGGCCCACCAAGGCGACGAUCCGUAGCUGGUCUGAGAGGAUGAUCAGCCACACUGGAACUAAGACACGGUCCAGACUCCUACGGGAGGCAGCAGUGGGGAAUAUUGGACAAUGGGCGCAAGCCUGAUCCAGCCAUACCGCGUGGGUGAAGAAGGCCUUCGGGUUGUAAAGCCCUUUUGUUGGGAAAGAAAAGCAGCAGGUUAAUACCCCGCUGUUCUGACGGUACCCAAAGAAUAAGCACCGGCUAACUUCGUG